This 762-nucleotide ribosomal RNA is filed under the name Candolleomyces candolleanus. RNAcentral's name for it is "eukaryotic LSU rRNA". It matches the Rfam family "Eukaryotic large subunit ribosomal RNA", at positions 131 to 881 of the family's 3401-position model. The record is from RNAcentral. Lineage: Eukaryota; Fungi; Basidiomycota; Agaricomycetes; Agaricales; Psathyrellaceae.
UGGCCAUCCGAGUUGUAAUCUAGAGAAGUGUUACCCGCGUCGGACCGUGUAUAAGUCUCCUGGAAUGGAGCGUCAUAGAGGGUGAGAAUCCCGUCUUUGACACGGACUACCGAGGCUUUGUGGUAUGCUCUCAAAGAGUCGAGUUGUUUGGGAAUGCAGCUCAAAAUGGGUGGUAAAUUCCAUCUAAAGCUAAAUAUUGGCGAGAGACCGAUAGCGAACAAGUACCGUGAGGGAAAGAUGAAAAGAACUUUGGAAAGAGAGUUAAACAGUACGUGAAAUUGCUGAAAGGGAAACGCUUGAAGUCAGUCGCGUUGGCCGGGAAUCAGCCUUGCUUUUGCUUGGUGUACUUUCUGGUUGACGGGCCAGCAUCAGUUUUGACCGGUGGAAAAAGUUCAGGGGAAUGUGGCAUCUUCGGGUGUGUUAUAGCCCUUGUUCGUAUACAUCGGUUGGGACUGAGGAACUCAGCACGCCGCAAGGCCGGGUCUUUGACCACGUUCGUGCUUAGGAUGCUGGCAUAAUGGCUUUAAUCGACCCGUCUUGAAACACGGACCAAGGAGUCUAACAUGCCUGCGAGUGUUUGGGUGGAAAACCCGAGCGCGUAAUGAAAGUGAAAGUUGAGAUCCUUGUCAUGGGGAGCAUCGACGCCCGGACCUGACGUUUUCUGACGGCCCUGCGGUAGAGCAUGUAUGUUGGGACCCGAAAGAUGGUGAACUAUGCCUGAAUAGGGUGAAGCCAGAGGAAACUCUGGUGGAGGCUCGUAGC